This 253-nucleotide ribosomal RNA is filed under the name uncultured bacterium. RNAcentral describes it as "partial 16S ribosomal RNA". It matches the Rfam family "Bacterial small subunit ribosomal RNA", at positions 524 to 776 of the family's 1533-position model. The record is from RNAcentral.
UACAGAGGGUGCAAGCGUUAAUCGGAAUUACUGGGCGUAAAGCGCGCGUAGGUGGUUUGUUAAGUUGGAUGUGAAAUCCCCGGGCUCAACCUGGGAACUGCACUCAAAACUGACAAGCUAGAGUAUGGUAGAGGGUGGUGGAAUUUCCUGUGUAGCGGUGAAAUGCGUAGAUAUAGGAAGGAACACCAGUGGCGAAGGCGACCACCUGGACUGAUACUGACACUGAGGUGCGAAAGCGUGGGGAGCAAACAGG